RNAcentral lists this ribosomal RNA (119 nucleotides) under Pteropus alecto (black flying fox). The record is from RNAcentral. Lineage: Eukaryota; Metazoa; Chordata; Mammalia; Chiroptera; Pteropodidae.
GUCUACGGCCAUGCUACCCUGAACGAGCCUGAUCUUGUCUGAUCUCGGAAGCUAAGCAGAGUCGGGCCUGGUCAGUACUUGGAUGGGAGACUACCUAGGAAGACCAGGCACUGUAGGUG